This 300-nucleotide ribosomal RNA is filed under the name uncultured Methanomassiliicoccus sp. RNAcentral's name for it is "bacterial SSU rRNA". It matches the Rfam family "Bacterial small subunit ribosomal RNA", at positions 497 to 795 of the family's 1533-position model. Lineage: Archaea; Methanobacteriati; Thermoplasmatota; Thermoplasmata; Methanomassiliicoccales; Methanomassiliicoccaceae. The record is from RNAcentral.
GUACUGACGUGCCAGCGGGUGCGGUAAUAGGGGGGGGGCGGGGGUUGUCCGGAAUUACUGGGCGGAAAGAGCUCGUAGGUGGUUUGUCGCGGCGUCUGUGAAAUUCCGGGGCUUAACUUCGGGCGUGCAGGCGAUACGGGCAUAACUUGAGUGCUGUAGGGGAGACUGGAAUUCCUGGUGUAGCGGUGGAAUGCGCAGAUAUCAGGAGGAACACCGAUGGCGAAGGCAGGUCUCUGGGCAGUAACUGACGCUGAGGAGCGAAAGCAUGGGGAGCGAACAGGAUUAGAUACCCCAGUAGUC